RNAcentral lists this ribosomal RNA (494 nucleotides) under uncultured bacterium. RNAcentral describes it as "partial 16S ribosomal RNA". It matches the Rfam family "Bacterial small subunit ribosomal RNA", at positions 29 to 507 of the family's 1533-position model. The record is from RNAcentral.
ACGAACGCUGGCGGCGUGCCUCAUACAUGCAAGUAGAACGCUGAAGGAGGAGCUUGCUUCUCUGGAUGAGUUGCGAACGGGUGAGUAACGCGUAGGUAACCUGCCUGGUAGCGGGGGAUAACUAUUGGAAACGAUAGCUAAUACCGCAUAAGAGUAGAUGUUUCAUGACAUUUGCUUAAAAGGUGCAAUUGCAUCACUACCAGAUGGACCUGCGUUGUAUUAGCUAGUUGGUGAGGUAACGGCUCACCAAGGCGACGAUACAUAGCCGACCUGAGAGGGUGAUCGGCCACACUGGGACUGAGACACGGCCCAGACUCCUACGGGAGGCAGCAGUAGGGAAUCUUCGGCAAUGGACGGAAGUCUGACCGAGCAACGCCGCGUGAGUGAAGAAGGUUUUCGGAUCGUAAAGCUCUGUUGUAAGAGAAGAACGAGUGUGAGAGUGGAAAGUUCACACUGUGACGGUAUCUUACCAGAAAGGGACGGCUAACUACGUG